RNAcentral lists this ribosomal RNA (358 nucleotides) under uncultured bacterium. RNAcentral describes it as "bacterial SSU rRNA". It matches the Rfam family "Bacterial small subunit ribosomal RNA", at positions 774 to 1120 of the family's 1533-position model. The record is from RNAcentral.
AGUGAAUAGAUACCCGGGUAGUCCACGCCCUAAACGAUGUCUACUAGUUGUUGGUGGAGUAAAAUCCAUUAGUAAACGCAGCUAAACGCGUGAAGUAGACCGCCUGGGGAGUACGGUCGCAAGAUUAAAACUACAAAGGAAUUGACGGGGGGCCCGGCACAAGCGGUGGAUUAUGUGGAUUAAUUCGAUGCAACGCGAAAAACCUUACCUGGUCCUUGACAUGCCACUAACGAAGCAGAGAUGCAUUAGGUGCCCGAAAGGGAAAGUGGACACAGGUGCUGCAUGGCUGUCGUCAGCUCGUGUCGUGAGAUGUUGGGUUAAGUCCCGCAACGAGCGCAACCCUUGCCAAUAAUUGCCA